RNAcentral lists this microRNA precursor (85 nucleotides) under Bombyx mori (domestic silkworm). RNAcentral describes it as "mir-2807 microRNA precursor family". It matches the Rfam family "mir-2807 microRNA precursor family". Lineage: Eukaryota; Metazoa; Arthropoda; Insecta; Lepidoptera; Bombycidae. The record is from Rfam by way of RNAcentral.
AUAAGAUAAGAUUUGUAUGGAGUUGGAACGUUUGCCCACGUUUGCCGCUAGGGGCGUUGUUCCAACUGCAUACAAAAUUGAGUUA